Molecule: unclassified non-coding RNA, 188 nt
Filed under: soil metagenome
Description: partial internal transcribed spacer 1
Source: RNAcentral
CAAUAAGAGUGUUUAUGGCACUCUUCAAAAAAUCCAUACCCACCUUGUGUGCAACGUAAGAAGAAAAAAAGAAGAUGCGAGUCAUGGGGAAACCCAAGUCUUGCCCCCUUUCUUUUUUCUUUUCCACAUACACCUUUCUAUUAGUUCCUAUUGUCUGAAGCUGUUAGAGAAUGACUAAUUCUUAAACA